UGGGGAAUAUUGCACAAUGGGCGCGAGCCUGAUGCAGCGACGCCGCGUGCGGGAUGGAGGCCUUCGGGUUGUAAACCGCUUUUGUUCAAGGGCAAGGCACGGCUUCGGGCCGUGUUGAGUGGAUUGUUCGAAUAAGCACCGGCUAACUACGUGCC
RNAcentral lists this ribosomal RNA (155 nucleotides) under uncultured bacterium. RNAcentral's name for it is "partial 16S ribosomal RNA". It matches the Rfam family "Bacterial small subunit ribosomal RNA", at positions 355 to 509 of the family's 1533-position model. The record is from RNAcentral.